RNAcentral lists this ribosomal RNA (402 nucleotides) under Triticum aestivum (bread wheat). Its description in RNAcentral is "partial small subunit ribosomal RNA". The record is from RNAcentral. Lineage: Eukaryota; Viridiplantae; Streptophyta; Magnoliopsida; Poales; Poaceae.
AUGCGUACUAGGGCCAAAUCAAGAUUUCAUCAACCCCAAGACCGCCUAAACCUUCAUACCUCCGUAUCUCUCACUUCUCUUCCAAAGAAUUACAAAACUGCUCUACUUGAUCCCAAUUGGGCCGCUGCCAUGCAAGAAGAAUAUAAUGCUUUACUUCAAAACAACACCUGGCAACUUGUUCCUCGUCCUCCCAAUACAAAUAUUGUUUCUGGCAAAUGGAUUUUUCGCCAAAAGUUCCACUCCGAUGGGAGCCUCUCACGAUAUAAAGCCAGGUGGGUUUGUCGUGGCUUUUCUCAGCAACAAGGAAUUGAUUACGAAGAAACCUUCUCUCCUGUUGUUAAACCUAGCACCAUUCGCACCGUUCUUAGUGUUGCUGUCUCCUCUUCAUGGCCCAUUCACUAA